CCUACGUGUGGCAGCAGUGAGGAAUAUUGGUCAAUGGUCGGGAGCCUGAACCAGCCAAGCCGCGUGAGGGAUGAAGGUACAGAGUAUCUUAAACCUCUUUUGUCAGGGAACAAAGGCGCUUACGUGUCCCCGGCUGAGUGUACCUUAAGAAAAAGCAUCGGCUAACUCCGUGCCAGCAGCCGCGGUAAUACGGAGGAUGCGAGCGUUAUCCGGAUUUAGUGUGUUUAAGGGGUGCGAAGUCGGGCUGUUAAGUCAGCGCUAAAAGCCCGGGGCUCAACCUGGGCGCGCCGUUGAAACUGGCUGUCUUGAGAUGUCGAGAGGUAUGCGGAAUGCGCAGUGUAGCGGUGAAAUGCUUAGAUAUUGCGAAGAACUCCGAUUGCGAAGGCAGCAUACCGGAGGCGAUCUGACGCUGAGGCACGAAAGCGUGGGUAUCGAACAGGAUUAGAUACCCCAGUAGUC
This 459-nucleotide ribosomal RNA is filed under the name uncultured bacterium. RNAcentral describes it as "partial 16S ribosomal RNA". It matches the Rfam family "Bacterial small subunit ribosomal RNA", at positions 338 to 795 of the family's 1533-position model. The record is from RNAcentral.